GGCUCAGAACGAACGCUGGCGGCAGGCUUAACACAUGCAAGUCGAGCGCCCCGCAAGGGGAGCGGCAGACGGGUGAGUAACGCGUGGGAAUCUACCCUUGACUACGGAAUAACGCAGGGAAACUUGUGCUAAUACCGUAUGUGUCCUUCGGGAGAAAGAUUUAUCGGUCAAGGAUGAGCCCGCGUUGGAUUAGCUAGUUGGUGGGGUAAAGGCCUACCAAGGCGACGAUCCAUAGCUGGUCUGAGAGGAUGAUCAGCCACAUUGGGACUGAGACACGGCCCAAACUCCUACGGGAGGCAGCAGUGGGGAAUAUUGGACAAUGGGCGCAAGCCUGAUCCAGCCAUGCCGCGUGAGUGAUGAAGGCCCUAGGGUUGUAAAGCUCUUUCACCGGAGAAGAUAAUGAC
RNAcentral lists this ribosomal RNA (404 nucleotides) under Rhizobium leguminosarum. RNAcentral describes it as "bacterial SSU rRNA". It matches the Rfam family "Bacterial small subunit ribosomal RNA", at positions 21 to 455 of the family's 1533-position model. The record is from RNAcentral. Lineage: Bacteria; Pseudomonadati; Pseudomonadota; Alphaproteobacteria; Hyphomicrobiales; Rhizobiaceae. RNAcentral also lists the same sequence under 1 other name.